GAUGAACGCUGGCGGCGUGCCUAACACAUGCAAGUCGAACGAAGCACCUUACUUGAUUCUUCGGCAGACAGUUUGGUGACUGAGUGGCGGACGGGUGUGUAACGCUUGGGUAAACUGCCCUGUACACGGGGAUAACAGCUGGAAACGGCUGCAAAUACCGCAUAAGCGCACGAGCAGACAUCCCCUUGUGUGAAAAACUCCGGUGGUACAGGAUGGGCCCGCGUCUGAUUAGCUGGUUGGCAGGGUAACGGCCUACCAAGGCAACGAUCAGUAGCCGGUCUGAGAGGAUGAACGGCCACAAUGGGACUGAGACACGGUCCAGACACCUGCGGGAGGCAGCAGUGAGGAAUGUUGCACAAUGGGGGAAACCCUGAUGCAGCAACGCGGCGUGAGUGAAGAAGUGUUUCGGUAUGUAAAGCUCUAUCGGCAGGGAAGAGAAUGACGGUACCUAACUAAGAAGCUCCGGCUAAAUACGUG
Molecule: ribosomal RNA, 477 nt
Filed under: uncultured bacterium
Lineage: Bacteria
Description: partial 16S ribosomal RNA
Rfam family: Bacterial small subunit ribosomal RNA
Source: RNAcentral